AAGUGCUGGGAUUAAAGGCGUGCACCACCACCACCUGGCUUAAACUAAUCACUUUUUAAACUUGAGUACGUCUGUGUCAGUUUAACAAUAACAAAACCCAGAAAAGGUAAACCUGCCAAAACUAAGGAACUUAAUAUUCUUACAUUAAUUCUUAAAGAUUUAUUUUUACUAUUUAAAAUUAUAUGUAUAUGAGUGUCUGUGUGGUCAUAUAUGCUCCUUGGAGUCCAGAAGAGCAUGACGGAUCCCUGGAUUGUGAGAUACAGGUAGUUGUGAACCCCCAUGUGCGUGCUGCAAGCUGAAUUGUGUCCUCUGCAAGAGCAGCCAGCACUCUUAUGCACAGAGCCACCUCUCUAGCCUCUUAAAACGAUUUUAUCUUGACUCCAUCGCACAUUAGUAAAGCAGCUUCCAAGUUACCUUUAUAACCAAUGUUCAAUAAAAGAAAAACUUAAAUUCAGUAAUUUUCCUUUUUUUAAAGGAAAAUUUAAACUGAGUCAACAUCUUGGUAUUCAGCAUGAUUCUUACAUUUGUACAUUCUCUCUCUCUCUCUCUCUCUCUCUCUCUCUCUCUCACACACACACACACACACACACACACAAACAUACACACAUUUUCCAAAGAAGAUGUCAUCUUUAGCACCUACCAAAUUACUUUAAAAAAAAAAAAACAGAAAACAAAGACCCACUAUUUCCCUUAGCAGCUUGGGAGGAUAGGUUUGUAUGCUGAGUGUAUUUCAUAUCCAUAUGACAACCCAUUUAAUUGUUAAAAAAAAAAACCCUCUGGGCCCUAAGACACCCACUAUCGUUUCUUAGUGUCUGCUUCAGCAAAAACAGCAUAAUCAUUCCAUCCAUCCCCUUCACCUAGAUGAGAUGCCCUCAUUGCUUCAGUUGAAUUUUAUUCGAGCCACCAGACUCUAAGACCUUUCCAGACCUUUUGUCUGGACAGUGGCACACACAAGUGCCUCCAACACACAAGUGGGCGAAUGUCCACUACUGUCUUCAUCUCCUUAACAAUAUGCAUGUCUUACACUUUUAUGAAGAAUGUAUUUCCCACCCCCACUCUCAGGAAGUAGUCCUCACAGACACCGACUACAGACUAGGAUACCUGGGAGACUGAAGCUGGAGAGGUGCCAUCUUUCCCUCGGGCAUGUCCACACAGCUCAGGGAGGUGAACACAGCAAAGCCGGGGUAGGUCCUGCUUAGCCCAUCUGUCACAGUCUAGCUCUACGAGGCUUUACUUCAGGAAAUGGUAACAACACGUGGCUAUCUACAGCUCCUUUUCUUCCCAGCAAGAAAGCAAUAACCUCACUAAGAAACAAACAGCUACAUGCCCAUGGAAAUUAGGGAGGCAUUUAAACAGCUUCUCAAAAAGAAAUUACUUUAGUAGGUGAAAAACUAAGUGCAUAGUGAAAAGAAAGUGGAAAAGAGUUCACCCCGCCUUGAACCUGCCUGUCUCAUGGUGUAAAAUAGUCAAAAACACAUGUGUUUCACAUCACUAAGUAAAUUCAGAAAGGAAGACCUUCUUUUCCGCAGUUUGAUUCCCACGAGUUCAGGAAUUAGCAAAUCCCCUGGCAGGCUGACACUGGCAGGGCCACGCUCCUGCUGAUGCAAAGCAGCCAACAGGAGAUGUGAUAAGAUAUGAUCUGUCACCUGCUGCUUCUGUCCUUCUACCAUAAACGGACUUGACGUGUGUGUCCCCAGCUCAACAGAUUGCAAUUCUGUCAAGGUCACAAGAACCCAGCCCAACAUGGCAUAUCUAACAGGCAGGAUUUCCUCUUUAAAAGCCAUUUAGAAAAUUAAACAAUUUAAAUGCAAUUAACUUUUGACAGAAUUCAUCAUUUAAAAAAACAUGGGUAAAUUUUGAUCUAUUAACAAUUACUUUUUGGCCUUGAAUGCUCACGGAAAAUCACUUCUUUUCCAAUUUCAUUCUCCUUUCCUUCCCACCUUGCUGCUGAUAAACGUGAGCACCAUGUGGAGCACACAGAUGCAGUGAAGGCCUGCCACCAGUUGUGCGCACAGACACCGCUUCAGUGCAAGAGGCCAGUGUGCCAUUACCUUGUUGAAGCAACUACGAUUUUGAGGCAACUGCAGAUGGAGCAGCGUGACUGCGGCCUUCCAUUUCAUUCUCCUCUUCAGAAGUCUCUGACACUGUAAACGGUAACUUGUCCGAGCUUGCUCAUUAGAAGACUACAUUCUAUCUCUAAAAAUAAUGAAGAUCUGCUGUUCUUUCUGCUAGGGCAAGAGGCUCGCACUGAGUCACACAUCCAUGAGCCAUCUCUGUCUCGCGCAUGUUCCCCAGCUCACUGUGGAGCAAAGGCACACACAAUUGGAGACAAAUGCCUGGGUUUGGAAAUUUAGUGGGAAGGCAUGGAAACAUUUUCUCUGGGAGGCACUGGCAGACUCAAUUGUUGCUGUCAAGAUGCACAUUUCUGAAGGAAAAUCUUCUUUAAAAAAAUGAAGAGUCUUAAAAGCA
Non-coding RNA from Myodes glareolus (Bank vole), 2469 nucleotides. The record is from RefSeq and is a predicted model, not a curated record. Lineage: Eukaryota; Metazoa; Chordata; Mammalia; Rodentia; Cricetidae.